AGAGUUUGAUCCUGGCUCAGAUUGAACGCUGGCGGCAUGCCUUACACAUGCAAGUCGAACGGCAGCACGGGAGCAAUCCUGGUGGCGAGUGGCGAACGGGUGAGUAAUAUAUCGGAACGUGCCCAAUCGUGGGGGAUAACGCAGCGAAAGCUGUGCUAAUACCGCAUACGAUCUACGGAUGAAAGCGGGGGACUCAGCAAUGGGCCUCGCGCGAAUGGAGCGGCCGAUAUCAGAUUAGCUAGUUGGUGGGGUAAAGGCUCACCAAGGCGACGAUCUGUAGCUGGUCUGAGAGGACGACCAGCCACACUGGAACUGAGACACGGUCCAGACUCCUACGGGAGGCAGCAGUGGGGAAUUUUGGACAAUGGGCGCAAGCCUGAUCCAGCAAUGCCGCGUGCAGGAUGAAGGCCUUCGGGUUGUAAACUGCUUUUGUACGGAACGAAAAGACUCCUUCUAAUAAAGGGGGUUCAUGACGGUACCGUAAGAAUAAGCACCGGCUAACUACGUGCCAGCAGCCGCGGUAAUA
Molecule: ribosomal RNA, 526 nt
Filed under: uncultured bacterium
Lineage: Bacteria
Description: bacterial SSU rRNA
Rfam family: Bacterial small subunit ribosomal RNA
Source: RNAcentral